Triticum dicoccoides is the source of this 2725-nucleotide RNA transcript. RefSeq lists it as uncharacterized. NCBI's taxonomy places the organism in Eukaryota, Viridiplantae, Streptophyta, Magnoliopsida, Poales, Poaceae. The transcript has 2 exons. The record is from RefSeq and is a predicted model, not a curated record.
CCACACCCAUUGGUCACCGAUAUGCACAAACCCUACCCUUUCCAGCUCUCCCAAAUCGAUGCAGCCGCCUCCCCUCUCCCUCCCUUCCUCCCAAAACACGCCGGCCGCCUCCUCUCCACUUGCCAUACCGCGUCCCCGCUGCCGCCAUGGCCUCUUUAGGAGGCACGCCCCUCCAUGGUGCGAAGCAGCAGACCAGGAUCUGGAUGAGGAAGAGGAGAUCCGGGCGCCCCAACGGUGAAUCGAUCGAUGCGAGGUGACGACGAGCUCCUCCGUACAUGGGGGAGCAGCGACGCCGGAGAUCCAUUCGGCGCAUGCGGGUCGAAGCUGCAGCGCUCCGGUCCCCAAGGCGCCUACAGGCUCGCUUCCUCCAUCCUCCCACGUCGAUCGCACCCCUCCUCCUGCAUCUCACCCAUCUCGAUGGAUGGCGUGCGGGCACGGAGGCGAGGUUCUCCGGCGGCGGCGGGAACCUCCAGGCAGAGAGCGACCCCAUGGAUCCGUCCCUUUAGGAGAGAAGGAAGGAGAGGAGACAUGCCAUGGAGAUGGGAUGAGUGCGCGACCCCAGGAUUUUGCGCUGCCGUCUUCUUUCGCCGGUCGGUGCCCUGGAAGAGCGACACCAGCCAGGUAGGCCUCUCCCUCCUCUCCAUACUCCACAUGAGGUGUGCAGGUCACCGCCGUGACAUAUCGUCUCUGCUCUCACGGUUCUGCCUUACUUGCAGCGUGUGUGAUGUGUGCGUGCUUACUGAUGUGUGGCAAUUUCUUAAUUAUAAGUCCCAGUUUAUGCACUUUCUAGAAGGAUGACGGUGAGGAGGGGCUACCUUUCCCUAGGAGAGGACCCUAACUGAACUUUGCAUUAAAGCUUUGUGUGUGUUUCUCCUUAAUCUUUGUGUAAAUUCAGAGUUCUAAUCAUCUUCUUGGUGUUUGCUGGUUUUAGGCAUUGUAUGGGAUGGGUCUAUCAUGUUGGUAUUAGUUGUAGACUUCCUUGCUGAACCCUACAGGGAGCAAUGCAUCACCAGUUUGCUUCUAGAGAAGGAAGGGGAAGAGGUGAACCUGCUUGUUCUUCAUUGGUUCCUAAAUAAAUAUCUAAUCUGUAAUAUUUUGUUAUAUCUAUGCUCAGUUACAAUUACAACAUGGGGCUUCAAGUGUCUAUUACUAUGGAUCACCAAUAUUUUUUUAUAUCCGUGCAUUUCAGUUAUGACUAAGUGCCACACCAAUGAAUGUGAAUGUCUGUUCAGGUAAUAAGUAUCACCAUUAGCAAUUUCGGUUUGUCUCCAUAGUCUAUUUGUGUCCCAUGUCCUUUCAGUACCUUCUUCUAUUUUCCUGCAUUUUCGCGUACCAUGCUGAAAUGUUGCAUUAGUUUUUGGCCGAAACUUCUUGCCUAGAUAUGGCCAUUUUAUUUUUGCUACACCAUGGUUAGUUAGCUGAGCCAUUUAAAUACAAUUUCAGGGUUUUCUUGUUGCUACUAUUCCUCGUGGAUAUUCAAGAGGCAACUUGGCACCUAAUGUCAGCAACGUGCUUAUCGGUGACGAGGGAAAUGAAAGAAGGCUGCAAUGGAAUUUGUACUAGAUUUUGGCCAUAUAAUUGCCGGUGACUGGAAGUCUAAAACUGAAGAUAGGGCAGAUUGUUUUGAUUCCGAUUACUUGGAGAUCUUGUGGCUUGCUGUCCCUGGAUCAGUCAGACCUACGGCAGCAUCAACUCGUUGAUCCUAGAGGCCAUGGUUCUCGAGGUAAGAAAUAUAAGCACACUAGAGAGAAUCCCUAUGCCAUAUGAACAAAUCUCUUUCUCAUCCAUGCAAUCUCUUCAUAUCUCAAAUCCCCGCCGAAGUGCCUUCACCUUGAUAUCGGCACAUAUGACUUCAGGAUGGUUGUAAUAUUUAUUUUAGAGGAUCUGCACUUCGAGAAACAAAGUAUAUGUAAGCUAUUAGGAAGCCUGAAAGAUUCAUAAAAAUAGUAAGCAUAUGAGUUCUGAUAAAUCAAACGGCACCUCUUAUCAAUCAUUGUAAUGGAUGUUCUGCAAGAUAAACAUUAUUUGACUAGCUCCCCUUAAUUAGUGGGACUUGAGAGUAAUGUAGAAUGUUUAUUUUAGCAGUCUUUAAGGUGCAAAAUAUGUGUUCUGUGAUACCAGUUUCUUGCUUUAUUUUGCUAACUGAUCACAACUACCAUUUUAGUGAACACAUUAUGAGCUGGAAAUUGUACAUUAGAAACUCUUGACAACGCAUUGCAAGUUCCAUGUUGGGAUCCUUCGCUAUAUAUUCCAGGCAGAAGAUUGAAUGGAAAAUCAAGAUGAACAUUUGUGUGUGUGUGAGAAUUUGUAUCUCUUUACUUAAUCUGAAAUCUAAAGUAGUAAUUCUCAGCCUCAGGGCUAUGUGGUGACGCUCGAAGUGACAGAAAAGGAAGAUAUUUGGGCAUAUGAACCCUGGAAAGAGUUUGAUGGUAGCAUAGAGAAAGCAGGUAGUCAGUACCAAAUGAAGAGAAAUAUUGGAAUCAUGUCAUUCCUAGGAGGCAGUUUUCCGGUUGAUCCGAGAUAUAUUUGUUGCUAUACCAAGUGCGACUUUUCUUUAUAGGGGAAACAUUUUCCUACAUUCUUUUAAACAGUAUGGUCCUUCUAUGGUAGCAAACUCUGGUCAAGUAUCUUUCAUUUCCUAUACUGAGAAGUAGCUUUACUUUUUCUUGACAGUAUGGUUGUGUUAACUACUAAAUGCUAAGGUUCCUUUGUUUGUUGACAUAAA